Molecule: ribosomal RNA, 689 nt
Filed under: uncultured archaeon
Lineage: Archaea
Description: bacterial SSU rRNA
Rfam family: Archaeal small subunit ribosomal RNA
Source: RNAcentral
CGUAUUGGUGAGGUAACGGCUCACCAAGCCUAUAACCGUACGGGCCGUGAGAGCGGUAGCCCGGAGAUGGGUACUGAGCCAAGGACCCAGGCCCUACGGGGCGCAGCAGUCGCGAAAACUCCGCAAUGCACGAAAGUGUGACGGGGCUACCCCGAGUGCCAUCCGCUGAGGAUGGCUUUUCUUUGGUAUAACUAGCCAUGGGAAUAAGGAGAGGCCAAGACUGGUGUCAGCCGCCGCGGUAAUACCAGCUCUCCGAGUGGUAGGGAUGAUUAUUGGGCUUAAAGCGUCCGUAGCCGGCUUAGCAAGUUUCCUGUUAAACCCAGCGACUCAAUCGUUGGAUCGCGAGAAAUACUACUAGGCUAGGAGGCGGGAGAGGUCACCGGUACUUCUGGGGUAGGGGUGAAAUCCUAUAAUCCCGGGAGGCCCACCAGUGGCGAAGGCUGUUGACUAGACCGCGCUCGCCGGUGAGGGACGAAAGCUGGGGGAGCGACCCGGAUUAGAUACCCGGGUAGUCCCAGCUGUAAACGAUGCGAGCUAGGUGUUGGAAUGGCUACGGGCCAUUUCAGUGCCGCAGGGAAGCCAUUAAGCUCGCCGCCUGGGGAGUCCGGCCGCAAGGCUGAAACUUAAAGGAAUUGGCGGGGGAGCACCACAAGGCGUGAAGCUUGCGGUUCAAUUGGAGUCACCGCCGG